AAUACGUAGGGUGCGAGCGUUGUCCGGAAUUACUGGGCGUAAAGAGCUCGUAGGCGGUUUGUCACGUCGUCUGUGAAAUCCUAGGGCUUAACCCUGGACGUGCAGGCGAUACGGGCUGACUUGAGUACUACAGGGGAGACUGGAAUUUCUGGUGUAGCGGUGGAAUGCACAGAUAUCAGGAAGAACACCGAUGGCGAAGGCAGGUCUCUGGGUAGUAACUGACGCUGAGGAGCGAAAGCAUGGGUAGCGAACAG
Molecule: ribosomal RNA, 254 nt
Filed under: uncultured prokaryote
Description: partial 16S ribosomal RNA
Rfam family: Bacterial small subunit ribosomal RNA
Source: RNAcentral